Molecule: ribosomal RNA, 819 nt
Filed under: Carabus japonicus chugokuensis
Lineage: Eukaryota; Metazoa; Arthropoda; Insecta; Coleoptera; Carabidae
Description: partial 16S ribosomal RNA
Rfam family: Bacterial large subunit ribosomal RNA (bases 1-567)
Source: RNAcentral
GUCUAGUCUGCCCACUGAAUUUAAUUUUUAAUGGCCGCAGUAUUUUGACUGUGCAAAGGUAGCAUAAUCAUUAGUUUUUUAAUUAAAAGCUUGUAUGAAAGGCUGGACGAGGUAGAAUCUGUCUCUAUUUAAAUUAAAGUAGAAUUUAAUUUUUAAGUUAAAAAGCUUAAAUGUUAUUAAAAGACGAGAAGACCCUAUAGAUCUUUAUAAUUUAUUAAAUGAAAUUAAUUUAGAAUUAUUUAUUUUUUAUUUUAAUAAAUUAUUUUAUUGGGGUAAUAGAAAGAUUAAAUUAAUUCUUUUUUGUAAUAAACAUUGAUUUAUGAAUAUUAAAUGAUCCAGUUUUACUGAUUAUAAGAUUAAGUUACCUUAGGGAUAACAGCGUAAUUUUUUUAGAGAGUUCAUAUCGAUAAAAAAGUUUGCGACCUCGAUGUUGGAUUAAAGAUUAUUUUAGGUGUAGAAGCUUAAUAAUUUUGGUCUGUUCGACCAUUAAAUCUUUACAUGAUCUGAGUUCAGACCGGUGUAAGCCAGGUCGGUUUCUAUCUUUAAUAAAAUAAAAUAUUUUAGUACGAAAGGACCAAAUAUUAAAUAUAUUUAUAUUUAAUUUAUUGAAUAUUAUUAAAGUUGUAAUUAUUUUGGCAGAUUAGUGCAAUGAAUUUAGAAUUCAUUUAUGUAAUUUAUUUACAAAUAAUACUUGUUUUAUAUAGAUAUUGUUUUUUCUUUAGUAUGUAUAUUAUUAUUAAUUAUUUGUGUUUUAGUGGGGGUUGCUUUUUUAACUUUAUUGGAACGUAAGGUCUUAGGUUAUAUUCAAAUUCGUAAGGU